AGAGUUUGAUCCUGGCUCAGGAUGAACGCUGGCGGCGUGCCUAAUACAUGCAAGUCGAACGAGGCCCUUUGUAUUCGUACGAAGGUGUCCUAGUGGCGAACGGGUGAGUAACACGUAGGUGACCUACCCCGAAGAGGGGAACAACCCCGGGAAACUGGGGCUAAUACCCCAUAACCUCCUUGGAGUUAGAGGUCCUUGGAGAAAAGGAGCAAUCCACUUUGGGAGGGGCCUGCGGCCUAUCAGCUAGUUGGUAGGGUAAUGGCCUACCAAGGCUAUGACGGGUAGGGGGCCUGAGAGGGCGAUCCCCCACACUGGCACUGAAACACGGGCCAGACACCUACGGGUGGCAGCAGUAGGGAAUAUUGCCCAAUGGACGAAAGUCUGAGGCAGCAACGCCGCGUGCGCGAUGAAGGCCUUCGGGUUGUAAAGCGCUUUUCUGGGGGAAGAGAAAGGACGGUACCCCAGGAAUAAGUCUCGGCUAACUACGUGCCAGCAGCCGCGGUAAAACGUAGGAGGCAAGCGUUAUCCGGAUUUAUUGGGCGUAAAGCGCGUGUAGGCGGUUUAGUAAGUCGGACGUGAAAGUUCCCGGCUCAACUGGGAGAUGCCGUUCGAGACUGCUAGACUAGAGGGCAGCAGAGGGAGGUGGAAUUCUGGGUGUAGCGGUGAAAUGCGUAGAUAUCCAGAGGAACACCAGUGGCGAAGGCGGCCUCCUGGACUGUCCCUGACGCUCAGACGCGAAAGCUAGGGUAGCAAACGGGAUUAGAAACCCCGGUAGUCCUAGCUGUAAACGAUGCAGACUUGGCGUUGGUGGUUUAAUAGCCAUCAGUGCCGUAGCUAACGCGAUAAGUCUGCCGCCUGGGGACUACGGCCGCAAGGCUAAAACUCAAA
RNAcentral lists this ribosomal RNA (888 nucleotides) under uncultured Chloroflexota bacterium. Its description in RNAcentral is "bacterial SSU rRNA". It matches the Rfam family "Bacterial small subunit ribosomal RNA", at positions 8 to 905 of the family's 1533-position model. The record is from RNAcentral. Lineage: Bacteria; Bacillati; Chloroflexota.